RNAcentral lists this transfer RNA (78 nucleotides) under Pyrolobus fumarii 1A. Its description in RNAcentral is "tRNA-Arg (TCG) (tRNA-Arg-TCG-1-1)". It matches the Rfam family "tRNA". From Rfam's summary of the family: Transfer RNA (tRNA) molecules are approximately 80 nucleotides in length. The record is from RNAcentral. Lineage: Archaea; Thermoproteati; Thermoproteota; Thermoprotei; Desulfurococcales; Pyrodictiaceae.
GGGCCCGUAGCUCAGCCAGGAUAGAGCGCCGGCCUUCGGAGCCGGUGGUCCCGGGUUCAAGUCCCGGCGGGCCCGCCA